Molecule: long non-coding RNA, 595 nt
Filed under: Homo sapiens (human)
Lineage: Eukaryota; Metazoa; Chordata; Mammalia; Primates; Hominidae
Description: HSALNT0366811
Source: RNAcentral
UGACGCUGCCCGAUAGCUUCGGAAGUCCCGUAGACCAUCACAGAUGCCGAGCUUUAGGUAACUCUCACAGUGGAGGAAGACAGGAAUGUCAGGCCUCUGAGCCCAAGCUAAGCCAUCAUAUCCCCGUGACCUGCACGUACACAUCCAGAUGGCCAGUUCCUGCCUUAACUGAUGACAUUCCACCACAAAAGACGUGAAAAUGGCCUGUUCCUGCCUUAACUGAUGACAUUGUCUUGUGAAAUUCCUUCUCCUGGCUCAUCCUGGCUCAAAAGCUCCCCCACUGAGUACCUUGUGACCCCCACUCGUGCCCGCCAGAGAACAACCCCCCUUCUUCCUUUACCUACCCAAAUCCUGUAAAACCCCAUCUCCCUUCGCUGACUCUCUUUUCAGACUCAGCCCGCCUGCACCCAGGUGAAAUAAACACCCAUGUUGCUCACACAAAGCCUGUUUAGUAGUCUCUUCACAUGGACAUGCAUGAAACUGACCUCAAGUAAUCCACCUGCCUCAGCCUCCCAAAGUGCUGGGAUUACAGGCAUGAGCCACCACGUGUGGCCUGUUUGUUUUUUGAGACAGUUCUGUCACCCAGGCUGGAGUG